Molecule: long non-coding RNA, 6515 nt
Filed under: Sus scrofa (pig)
Lineage: Eukaryota; Metazoa; Chordata; Mammalia; Artiodactyla; Suidae
Description: lncRNA (ENSSSCG00060024305.1)
Source: RNAcentral
UCGUCAUUCUUAUACGUGAUGCUGUAGUUAACUUCACUGGGGAUAUUUUGUGGACACUUGCUUGAAUAUUUCUGCAGAAUUGAUUCCUGGAAGUCAAAGAGCAGACAACUUUGGGAAGGCUCAGAGGACCUAGAUGUUGGUAUUUUCACUCUGUCUUGGCUUUCACUGUUCUGUAUCACCAACUAUGCCUCUAGGCAACAAUGGUGCCCAAGCCGAAAGGCAGAUGCAGUCUAGCUGGUGCAGAGUCGGUGGAUAAGGGCAGGAGAACAGAACUUGUUGUGUAAGAGGGGUUUUAUGCUGUGCUCUGCAGAGUGACUCAGCCCUCGCAUCAUUUGCUACUCACCCUGUCAAACUUGGCAUUCCUGCUGACUCUCGGCAUCUAUGUGUACAAUGAGACUUUUGACAACACCAGCCUAGGGUUGCUUUAAACACACCAAGGAGGUCAUGUCACAGUUAGUGAGCAUUCAUAAAUAACUUCCUAAUGAAUAAAAACAAGAGGAAGCUGAAACUCCUAUCUUGCAAAAAGGUCAGACUUGAUCUCCAUUUGGAGACAGGGAAAAUCCAUCUUUCAUUAGCCAGGCAAGCCCUGGCUCACCCAAGGCACAGUUUUAUCCAGUGGGCUGCUCACAACUACAGCCUCUCUCAGCUCCCACAGUCCCAACCCAUGCAUCUGAACUCCAACUCCUGGGAAAAUACUGGAAUAAACCCCAUCUUUUGAAGUUGUCUUCAGCUUUGAGAAAAUAUUUUCAGGACUCCAGUUGUAUUUACUGAACAUUCAUGGACCAAAUUCUGGAUGCAUCCAAUUUUCUACACCAACUGUAAUUCACCUGCUACAUGUGGACUUUUGGCUGUGCUAUAUUUUUCCUAAAUUGAAACAUUUCAUAUGCUCGAAAAUCUCCCUGGUGUUCAAAAGCAAAAUUUGUUUCUUAUAAAAUCUUGGCAUCGCUAUCAUUAAUUAACAGAGAGCAGAAUGCCUCUGUGUUUACCUUUACAAAGUGUAUCCAUGCAAUGCAUUUCUCUCCCAGAGGCAUGGUUUAUUCCUAUAGAUGAGAAAUUAGGCAUGUAUUAAAAAUAAAUGCAUGCUUUCCACCAGCGGGGAAAUUUUGAAAAGUAGACCACUGUAUUUCAUGGAAAGAUAUUGGACACAGGGGUGUGAAAAUUAAAUAGAGCUUCUCUCACUAUGAGAAAGUAAAUUAUGCUAAAUCAUUCACUUUAUCUGAAGCUCAUUUUCUGUGGCUUGAGACGAUUUGCCAAACAAUGUACAGGCUGAUCAGCCAGCCAGCCAGUAGCUAUUCAUGGGCCAGUUUUAUGGCUGAUCCAACUUGCUAGUCAUAUUGCAAGAUAGACGUGUGUGUGCGUGUGUAUACACAUACACUAUAACAAAAGGACUACAUUACUAUAACAAAAGGACUCACAUAACUUUAGGGCUUAAAGUUAGAAUUCUCUUAAAGACUAGUGCUGGAAAGUAAGAUUAUAACAAAGUUUCUCUGUGUGCUUUAAGUCAACAUACUUUCAGUUAUGGUAUACCCAAAUCCAUGAACCAUACUGUGAAAUUUGUUACAUUUCUAUACGCAUUAGAUGACUUUAAAUCAUGAUGAUUUCUAGGUACAGCCUUGAAGUCUGGAACCACAUUUUAUAUUAUUUUUGCCUUUGUGCCUUUUAUAACAAGGUUAGGGAUAUAAGUAAAACCGAUAAAUACUAGACAUUGAUAAACACUUGCUGACUUUAAUUAGAGAUGAUUUUUUCCCUCUACUAUUUAUGUUCUAUGAUAGACAAACAAAAUAAAAUGCUUGAAUUGAAAAAUGCUUCUCAGAAUCCUUCAGGUUUGUCCCUAAGAAGCAAGGGGCAUGAUAGGACUUCGAGUUGAAGGAAAAGGCCUUGCUGGCAGGUCUCUUUUCUUUCCCCCUUCUGUUGAAGUCAGGGCCAGAGCGAAACAGAGUGACGCCAUGUGUCCUGGGAGUGCUGAGUAACAUCAAUUCUAUUAAAUGGAAAAUGGGACAGAGCCCAGGCUCAGGCAGGCAGGAGGCUCACUGAGGCCUUGGCAACAAAGGACAGGCAGGAAUGGGCUUCAUGAACCAGAGUACAAGGCAGACCAGCUGCAAAAUUGAAGGUCCCGAGUCCAGGCUGACAGGUGCACACUCCCCAGCAUAUAAAGGGUCACAAGGCCCACAGUGUUCACCCCUGCUAUCACCAGCCCUCACCUAGAUCCCUGCCUGGCCUCUGUGCUAGGCCACCAUUCAUUUCUGCCCCAGUUUCCAUGUGUGUACCCCUGGCCACCUGUUCUUUUGUAUAGUAAUGUACCCCUUCCCCUCUAAGCUCAUGGCAUUUCUUCUCCUUCCUUGUUUAGAGAUGCUUAACUGCUUUUCUAGAAUCACAAGUGUCGCAGCCCUUCAAGACUGUCUUCAGCACUCACUUCUGUAAGUGCCCCCAUAGGCAACCAGAACAUCCAGCCCCAAGUGCCCAGCUUAUGUUUUGCCCUUAGCUCUGGGCAGAAAGAAUCAGACUCAGUCUCGAGACAUAAUCAGCCAAGGGCGUAGUGACGACAGGCUUGGUGCAGAGUUUUUGGAUACGCAGAGUUUCAGCCCAAAGGGAGGAAGACAGUAGGCAGAGAUUCUUAGAGCAGGCUUAGGUCAGGAAGAGGCUGUGGUCAGGGCUGGGUGAUGAGGAAAAUCGUGGGGCCCAGUAUUGAUGGCCAUAUCACUGGUCAUCAAGGCUGACUUGCCUAGUCCCAAAGGCAAGGCUGAUACAUUUCCUGCCAGGACUGAUUUUGGAACUGAGGUGGACAUGAGGUUGCAAUUGGGACUGGUUUAAAAUCCAGCCUUUAAGGAGUUAGGGAGGGCGAAGUCAGAAGACUACAGAUGGUAUGAGAAGCAAGUGAUGUGGGUGCUUCUUGGAGGAGAUGCAGACUUAAAACAUGGCUAUAGUAUAUUAAGACAGAAAACGCCUUUUAUUUCCACUAAAAGAAUUAUGUUUGAGAGAACUUCUAAGGAAGGAGAAAAAAAAAAAAAGACGGAGUAGGUAGCAAUUUGGGGUUUUUCAAACUAAACAGAAAAUGGUUAUGAUAGUAGCUAUAAACUUACAAGCCAAGAGCAUUUAUUUCUGGCAGGCAUGUGCCUCGCUGAAGGAAAAGGAAUAAAUGUCCCUUUCAGAACUCACGAGUUCCAAGUUAAAUGACAACUCUCUCAAUAGAGCAGGUGGUUCAAAGGAAAUAGUCAGGCCAGGAGAAGGCCUGCUGGUUCGAAGGGAACAUCUGAACUCCCACACCAAGAUCAAAAGAUGUCCACCCCAAAGCAUGUGUCCGUCAUUUAAUCCUCAACAUGUAAUCUGAUUUGCUGCUCUAAGUCAAUGCAGUAAUCACGGCAGCAAAGACUUAAACAUAUGCUUCAAACCUGGAUAAUUGCCCAGAAGUAAAAUGCAUUGAAGGAUCUGAUAUUCUGACAUUUAAUAAAAGUCUGAAUUAUAUUUGCCAUCUGCUGUGAUUUAAUUUUCUUGCGUUCAAUAUUUAAUAAAACAAUAGAAAAUUAUGACAAGAAUCUUGUGCUAUUCGGAAACUGCUGGAUAUGAGCCUGGUUCUGGGGUCAGACUGUAAGAGAUUAAAUCCCAUUUUAUCCACGUACUAGUUGCCUGACUAGCAAAUUACUCAACCUGUCUGUCCCUCAGUUUUUCUCACCAGCAAAACAGGAAUUAUCCCCGAAUCUACUUACCGCGGCUGUUGUGAAGAUUAAUAAACAAUUACAUACAAAUUGCUUCAAGCACUGCCUGGCUUAUAGAGAGGACUCAGCAAAAGUUAACUAAGUUUAUUAUUUUUUAAAGUGAAGUCAGGCUACUCAUUCUUCUUCUGUUUGUUUUCUUGCUUGUUUGUUUCAAAUAGCUAUAUACCAACAUCUGCACAUUUUCCCAGUUUGUUUCAAAUAGUCUUCUAAUGAACUCUUUUUAGAAAGAGAAGUGAACCAAGUAUAGAAUGCAACACAGAGUCUGCAGUGACAUUCGGUGAGAAGAUACCUCAUCAAACCUCAGCCACAGAGAAAUCUGACUUUGGAGCAUCCUUAAAACUGGCACCACAGAGUUCCCACUGUCCUUCAGUGGGUUAAGAACCCAACUAGUUCGUAGCAGAGGCUGGCCCAGAUGACUGCUACGGCAAGCCCUGGGUCCCCUGCCCUGGGAUGUGGGGAUAAGUUUGGCUGCAAACAUGUUGCCCCUGGGGGAAGAAAAAAAAAAAAGCCCCCAACUAGCAUCUGUGAGGAUGUGGGUUCCUUCCCUGGCCUCGCUCAGUGGGUUAAAGAAUUAGCAUUGCCACAAGCUGUGGCAUAGAUCACAGAUGCGGCUUGGAUCCGAUGUGGCUGUGGUGUAGGUGGGCAGCUGGAGCUCCAAUUCAACCCCUAGCGGGAGAACUCCACAUGCCACAGAGGCGAGGCUGUAAAAAGGAAAAGGAAAAAAAACGAAAACAAACAAGCCUGGCACCAGCUUCUGAAUCUGAAAAAAAUUUCCAGAAAACACAAGGAAAGAAAGAGCUGAUGAACAAGAUAAUGUAACGAUAUUGCUCAAAUCUACCUCGGCCUUCUCCGCUGUGAGCCCCAUGAUAGCAAGAACGAUGACAUGUUUACCUCUUUAUCCGCGAGGCCAGUUAAAAUUUCAAGAACCUAGAAGGCAUCUGGUGAGUAUCUGGUGAAUGCUCGUUGGUUGUUUAAAUGAAUGAAAUUAGAAAUGAGCCACAGACAUGGCACUGAGCUCAUAAUGCAUCCUUCAUGAAGGUACCCCUGUAGCAAAGUACUUGUGAAAAUAAUGCUAGUUGGGGACAAGGAUUGGGCUUCAUUUUUCAGGAAAAUUUUGCUGAGGGUUUUGUUUUUCUUCUUGGGUCUCUGAUUAUUUAGGUAAACAAGAGCACAUAAUAAGAACUCCCAUUUAUCAAGAAUUUAAAUGUGUCAGGCACUGUGUUAAACACAGUACAUUUGAUCUUAUAGGAAUUCUAGGCUAAGCUAUUACAAUUGUACUAGUUAUCCAGACUGUGAAAAUAGAGAAAAGGCUGAGUUUUUCAAAAUCACACAGCUAACAAGCAGCUGACAUAGGCCUGAAACCCAGCUUUAUGCAAUUCCUAAAGAUCCUACUUUUAACUACUGUAUUGCAUUAAAGCUUCUUAAAGUCACAAAAUAUCAGAGGCUAAGAGGAUCUUGCAUAUUUUACAGGUAGGGAAACAGGGACCAGAGGUGUGAGAUGUCCUGCCAAAUAUCACUUGAUUCAUCAAAGCAGAGCCAAGGACUACUCAGUUCUGACAAUCCAAAACAUUUUCUCUUGUACCUAAUCACUUCCUUUUUAUCAAAUGCAGCCCUGGUCUCACUUUGGUAAACCAAAGUGAGACCAAUCAAUCUCUUUACUGAAUGUUAGAAAUUCCCUUACAGAAAUGUCUUACUCUUAUUUCAAAAGCUCAAUCAAUUCUUUUGUAAUCCAAAAUAUGCACCACGAAAUAAAUUCCAUGGGUUAGUAGUCUAAGCACUCAUUUGGUCUUUUUCCUUUUUUUUCCCCCCUCUACCUUCAAAAUCACCACUCAGAGCAUGGUGCCUGACACAGAUGCCUUCCCAGGGAUUGGGACUGAUGGAGAAAAAGGAGAAAAAAGACAAGGUGCAAAUCUAUUUUCACAAUCAGAUCUCGCAUUCACCGGAUGAUUGCCAAGUAAGAGAUGAGGAUGACAACAGUUACCUGAUGAGGUCUAGCAUCUUAACUACGACGUCCAUUGUGUCCGAUCUAUUUAUUUAAGAUGCCCAUACUAUACCAACCACGUGAUGAUGAAGGCAUUGUUCACCAAACCAGGCUUUAUGACUGAUGUUAAAAAAGGUGCAUAUGUGCAAAAUGCAAACCUGACUACUUUCUUUAGUUUAAAAGGAGAUGCUAUCCCAGCAUGUACGAGGGGCUGUUUUACUCCAGCAGUGAUGGAGGUUGGAUCACAGGCCCCGCACUCACUCUCCUGUUAGAAUCAAGGGGUGUCUUCACAACGGAGGGGGGGAAGAGAAAGGAUCCAGUUUACGGAUAAAAGACAAGGGGAAAUGGACAUGGGAUUUAUAUAGUCUCUUUGAAUUCACCAGUAGAGCCCCCUGCCAAUAGUGUCCUUUGCAUAUAGCUUGCAUGGCAAAACGUUGAAUAUGGGGAAUGGGUAAAAGGGCCUAUUAUUCUUUUCCAUUUUUGGGAAUUUGAAAACUUUCACAAUAAAAGGUCUUUUUUUUUUUUUUUUCUCUUAAAGUAAUCUUUUCUUUGGGAAGAAGCUUCCCAGAGUCUUGUCUUAGUGACGAUGCUCACCUAGGAAGCAGGGAUUAGUAGAGUGCAUUGGACUUGAACUCAGAAGUCCAUGACCUCUAGCAGUCCAGCAACCUCUCGGGCCACAGAGCCUUAAGGAUUCAGCCUUCUCUAACUCCCGGUUUGUUUCAUAUUCUCCCCUCCAUUUGCUCCCAUCUCCCCCUGAUAGUCCUUUUUCAUACCCUUUGUCUUCUUCCCCAUUUCCCCAGGAAUACAAGAACUCCUUGAGA